Molecule: long non-coding RNA, 1745 nt
Organism: Phascolarctos cinereus (koala)
Lineage: Eukaryota; Metazoa; Chordata; Mammalia; Diprotodontia; Phascolarctidae
Source: Ensembl
GUUUAAGGGGGAUCAGGGCCUCUAGAGUUGGGGAAUCUGUGAAGGGAGUGCGGCGAUACUCCCUGUGGGUGGGGAGGACUGGCCAUGGCCUUCUGGGCGGGCCAGCUGGCCAGCAAGCUUGGGAUCUCUCUGGAACCUGGACCUGAGCUAAGAUGUGGGAAUCUGUCUUUGUGACCUCACAGGUCGGGAGGGUCAAGGAACUUUAUGGGCCCCCAGUCCUAAGCGGGGUAAGACAUAGCAUUCCCCUCGCUCCAUCCAAGGUGGGGGGGAGGUGUCAAGGAGGAUGUAAGCAAAAGAAAGCUGUUUGGCCUGGAGAGGAUGAGGCUGAGGGGCUGGACAGGGGAGGGGAAAGGGGUAUAGCGUCUCUGCUGGGGGAGGGGCUGGAACUCUGGAGAGGGACUAGAACCCAGAAGGCAGAACCAAGACCACAGUGGUGUUUAGGCUUGACAGCAGGAGAACUUCCUGUCUCUGGGUGGCCACUCAUGGGACAUCUUGGGGCUGAAGCUGGGUGUCCACCUGUCAGGGCAACCUCCAAGAGAUGAUGGCCUCUCCUAAAAAUGGCCUCCAAAGACCCAGGCUGCAUACUGUUUCCCUCUCAGAGGGGUCUUCUGCUGGAAAGUCUCCUGUGGGAGAAGGUGGCUCUCUACAUCUGGAAAGCCCUGUGCUCAAGCCCUGACUCAAUGUGGGCCUCAGGCUGCCUCCAGCUUCCCAUUGAGAAGGUUAGGGGCAGCUAGGUGGUGCAGUGGUUAAAGCGCUGGGCCUGGAGUCAGGAGGAUUUGAGUUCAAAUCUGGCCUCAGACGCUUACUAGCUGUGUGACCCUGGGCAAGUCACUUCACCCCAAUUGCCUUCCUCAGCCCCAAAGUGAGAAGAUUAGAGCUGAUGCCCUGAGCACCCAUGGAACCCUGCAGGUCUGUGGUCCUGUGGCGAGCAUCCCUGCUAGGUGGCUCAGGCUGAGGCUGAAGCCUCUUUUCCAGAAUCCUCAAUCCCAGGAAAGGCCCUCUGGAUGUAGCCUGGAUAGGCAAGGCCCUGGCUCCUCAGUGCCCAGAUGUAGCCUAAGAUCUCCUUCCUCCCCACCCUCCUGGAGAUCCUGGUACUUGACCCCAGUAAUCAGGCCCUGCUGGGGUCCCAAUCCUCCUACCCAAACAAUUGUCAUCACCAGGGCAAAGGGGCUGGAUUUGGAGUCAGGAAAGACAUCUGUUCAAAUUUUACCUCUAGCACUUGCCAGGCAAGUCAGGGAAUCUCUCUGACCCACCUCCACCCACAUUCUUGCCCACUCAGCACUUCUCUCAAGCUGUCCAUUGCUGUUAACCUGGGUCCUUCUGGCCUAUUCACCGAGGUGCACUCAGGCCAGGUUUGGAGAAUGCCGUCAGGGAAGGUGGCUCUCAUGUCUGCUUCCCCUCCGCUAGUCUGCUUCACCCUUCCCCCAGACUGUUUCACCCCUCCCCCAGUCUGCUUCACCCUUCCCCCAGACUGUUUCACCCCUCCCCCAGUCUGCUUCACCCUUCCCCCAGUCUGCUUCACUUCUCCCCCAUGUCUGCUUCACCCCUUCCCCCAUGUCUGCUUCACCCCUUCCCCCAGUCUGCUUCACCCCCUCCACCCAAGGUGCUGAUGGAUAGCAUCCACCCCAAUCCCUCAAGCUGGAGAGAAUGCCAGUUUUUAUUGAUCCGACUUUAUCUCUUACAUUUCUUUUGUACAAAACACAAGGAGAAAUAGCUACAAUAAAUAAGUACCAAAGUUAGGGCCA